CCAUGCGGAUCAGAACGGUAAUGCGUGAGGCUGAUUCGUAAUCAGCAGGUCGGUGGUUCGAGUCCACUCGCCGGUACCA
Molecule: transfer RNA, 79 nt
Filed under: Gammaproteobacteria bacterium
Lineage: Bacteria; Pseudomonadati; Pseudomonadota; Gammaproteobacteria
Also listed under: 1 other name
Description: tRNA-Thr
Source: RNAcentral